GAGGGCACCUACGUGCCACCUGACCCGGCUGCGACCUCAGGUUAAGAAGCAGUGAACUUGGGAGCCGGAGGGGUCCAUUCACUCUGGAAUUCCUCCUUGGUGGCAGCCUUUUCAGCAGCAGCCUACUCUUCCUUUUCCUCUCUUCGGGAGCUCUGUAGAAGGAGAUCACGCAUGACCUCUCCCGAAUGCUCACGGGACAUGGAGCUGCGCAUGCGCAGAACUUCCCUAGCCAGCAACCCCUACUUCACACCUAACUGAGCGAGCUCCCCGGUUGUGGCCCGGGAUGACAAUACCCGCGUAGCACUGAGCAGUGUCUGUGUUACACACUGAGAUGGUGGGCAGGUUAACAUAAGGUGCCCCUGUGCGAAGCUGGCGGUCAGCCGUGGGAUCAGUACUCCCGGAAGACACGACUCCCGGAAGACACGGCUGCCGGAGCUGCCUGGAUCCCAUCAGGGAAGCUUCCAGGAGUGCUGUGGCCAACAGUAGUAGUGGCUCCAAUGACAGCAGCAGUGAACUUCAGCACAACUCACUGGCCAGUAUUCUGGAGGAUGUGACACUGAUGUCAGCCAGAUUUUCAGUGGAGACAAUGGCACAAGAUGCCAACAGAAGCUUCUCCCAGGUUCUCUUCAGAUAUUUGAGCAUAUUUCCAGACCUCUUCAGGGAGAGGGCGUUUGACUCUGCUGAUGGGAACUUUGGCAGUUCUGUUUCUGAAGUUCCACUUCAAGAGGGCUCCUUGCUGUUCCCUGAGCCUUUGCAUCCACCACAUUCUCCACACUGUCUGCAGUUAGGUCUCGAUUCACAUGUCGCCUUUCCCGAUGACCCUAAAACGGCAAGAAUCCUUCCUACUUCGUGUGCCUUCACCAAGCUUCCUGCUCUAUUUCUCCACAUAGCACUUACCUGUCAAAUAUCUCUAUAUAAAUAAAAUAUAUGUAUUUAUAUAUAAUUUAUAAAUAAUAUAUAUAUUUCUGUAGUGUAUGUCAUCUCUCACCAUAAUAAAUUGUAUGAAAAAAAGGACUUUAAUUUCUUUCCUGUUAUCUUUUUGGUGUAUAAAACUUUGCCUGGUGCAGAGCAGGUGCUCAAAACAUUUUGUUAAAUGAAUGAAAUUAUGAACAGAUGUCAAUGAAGGUUCUUAAAUAAAAUAUUAUUGUGUAGAAAAUAAAUGUACACUUUAUAAUGCCUUCACAAUAAGGAAAGCCCCUGUUUACUCAUAUGUUUUACUGAAGGAUUAACACUCAACCUUCAACAAUAAAAAUUCAUGUUGUACAAAAUAAGGUGUGUGUGCUAACAAUAACUUGGAGUUUUUUUGCAUUAGUAAAAAUUAGGCAUUUUUUUCUGAAAAAGAGAAGGCAUCACAACAUUAUUGUUAUUAGUUAUUAGAAGAUAAAUGUUAUUAGAAGAUAAAUACAGAGUGGAAAUGUCUGAGACUUGAAUACUGUUAAACAGCGAUGUGCUCCUUUGUCAGAAUGUAAUUAUUAAUUUAUUUUUUAUAAGGGAUGUAUCUAUGUAAUAGGAAUUUUAGAAAAUACUGGAAACACUAAGAAGAAAAUGUAAAUCGCAUUUUAUUUCAUCAUCAGAGGUAACUGAUGUUAAUUUGAUAUAUACCUAAUAUGUGUUUUAGAUGAGAAUUACAAAGCAUUGGUAUUACAGUUUACGAGUUUUAUGAAACCUGGUAUUGUUCUAUUUAAUAAUAUAUCUAAAUAUCUUCUCAUGUUAUUAAAUGUUACCCUACAUGACAUUUUAAUAGCUUAAUAGUAUUUUACUUUAUGGAUGAAAACUAUUAAUUUAGUGAGUCCCGUAUUGUUGGACAUUUACAUUAUUUAUGAUUUUUCACUGUUACAAACAAUAUUUCAAAGAGCAUCCAUAUAGUAAAGCUUUAUACCUACCCAUGGUUAUCUCCUUAGAAUGAAUUUCUGUAAGUGGAAACUUUAGGUCACAGAAAGUAUGCACUUUUCACUCACUUUAUAUUUACCUCCAAAUUAUUCUCCAGAAAGAGUAUGGCAAAUUUUUCUUCCUACAUCAGUGUACAGAGUAUAAGUAAAUUAAUUUUAUAUAAUGAGGAGGAAAUGUUAUUUUGACAGCUAAGUUCAAAGUUUAUUUUAAAAUAAAAGCUUUUGUUUGGAAAAUCACUUUAAUAUAUGCUUAUGGUAGAAGGUAAGCUUCCCGAGGGCUUACAAGUCAAUAGCUGCUUUGUAUGGGGCAAGGGGAGAAAAAAGGCUUUUUUCAUACUGAGUUGGGUAAGAUGGUGAGAGUUCUGGACCAUUGGAAGGGCCAGUAAAACCCCAUGGAAGUCAGGAGUUUCAAUGGUAUGUGAAUAUCAUUCUUCAGAAAACAAACAAACAAAAAUACUACUGUAAAGUUGUUUGCGUUGUUGUUACAAGUUAUGUAAAGUUAACUCAUGAGAAGCUUGUGUGAAUGGAGUUUUUAGUAGAAGUUGAAGGGAGGUUGAUUAUUAUCUUGGGGUCACUGUGGGGUAGCAUUUGAGUUGAUAAACAGGGAGCUAGGAACCCAGGAAAAGAAGGGAUGAUGAAAGUCAAGUCCUCAAGAAUGUGCCGAAAUCUUGGUGAGAAGCUUGUAUUUCCUAGUUCAUUGGGACAGUGGAGAGACAGCAAUGAUUGAGUGACGUUUGUUAAUUUCCUGGGGGCGUGGAGGCUCCCACCUGACAUCUGACUUAUAUAUUAGUAAACUCUAGAUAUUAGUUUUGAAGACCUUUUAAUGUGAAUAUUAAAGUUGUCACAGCAGGCAAUGUUCAAAGCUAGUUCUGUUAUUGUUGCCAUUAGAUCCAGAAUAGUGAGGCUGGUAGAACCCCUUAAUUCGUGUUUUCUUUUGGUCAUGAUGAGAUAGAUAAAAGUAUACAGUGACUGUAAAGAGAGAUCAGCAUGAAAAAGUGUAAGCCUGGGUUGGGUUGUCAGAUUUGGCAAAUAAAAAUAUUGCAUAUUAAUACCAAAAAAAUGUUCAUUGUUUCUCUGAAAUUCAAAUUUAAUUGGUGUCUUGUAUUUUAUCUGGCAAACUUAAGCUUGAGUUUCUAAUAAGGACGAAGCGACCAUUCAGGAGAUGCG
RNAcentral lists this long non-coding RNA (3056 nucleotides) under Equus caballus (horse). RNAcentral describes it as "lncRNA (ENSECAG00000035608.3)". Lineage: Eukaryota; Metazoa; Chordata; Mammalia; Perissodactyla; Equidae. The record is from RNAcentral.